GCCGGGCACAGUGGUGCACGCCUGUAUUCCAACAGCUUGGGAGGCUGAGGCAGGAGGAUCAUGAGUUCAAAGCCAGCCUCCACAACUUAGUGAGACCCCUAAGCAACUUAGCAUGACCCUGUCUCUA
RNAcentral lists this small RNA (127 nucleotides) under Marmota monax (woodchuck). Lineage: Eukaryota; Metazoa; Chordata; Mammalia; Rodentia; Sciuridae. The record is from RNAcentral.